This is a non-coding RNA of Pristionchus pacificus, 73 nucleotides long. NCBI's taxonomy places the organism in Eukaryota, Metazoa, Nematoda, Chromadorea, Rhabditida, Neodiplogasteridae. The record is from Rfam.
GGUCUUGUGGUGUAGUGGUUAUCAUGUCUGCUUUACACGCAGAAGGUCGUCGGUUCGAACCCGGCCAAGACCU